Molecule: ribosomal RNA, 577 nt
Filed under: Mesorhizobium sp. ST-8-Setubal
Lineage: Bacteria; Pseudomonadati; Pseudomonadota; Alphaproteobacteria; Hyphomicrobiales; Phyllobacteriaceae
Description: bacterial SSU rRNA
Rfam family: Bacterial small subunit ribosomal RNA
Source: RNAcentral
UGAGUAACGCGUGGGAAUCUACCCAUCUUUACGGAACAACUCCGGGAAACUGGAGCUAAUACCGUAUACGUCCUUCGGGAGAAAGAUUUAUCGGAGAUGGAUGAGCCCGCGUUGGAUUAGCUAGUUGGUGGGGUAAUGGCCUACCAAGGCGACGAUCCAUAGCUGGUCUGAGAGGAUGAUCAGCCACAUUGGGACUGAGACACGGCCCAAACUCCUACGGGAGGCAGCAGUGGGGAAUAUUGGACAAUGGGCGAAAGCCUGAUCCAGCCAUGCCGCGUGAGUGAUGAAGGCCCUAGGGUUGUAAAGCUCUUUCAACGGUGAAGAUAAUGACGGUAACCGUAGAAGAAGCCCCGGCUAACUUCGUGCCAGCAGCCGCGGUAAUACGAAGGGGGCUAGCGUUGUUCGGAAUUACUGGGCGUAAAGCGCACGUAGGCGGAUAUUUAAGUCAGGGGUGAAAUCCCGGGGCUCAACCCCGGAACUGCCUUUGAUACUGGGUAUCUCGAGUCCGAGAGAGGUGAGUGGAAUUCCGAGUGUAGAGGUGAAAUUCGUAGAUAUUCGGAGGAACACCAGUGGCGAA